Long non-coding RNA from Esox lucius (northern pike), 1061 nucleotides. The record is from Ensembl. NCBI's taxonomy places the organism in Eukaryota, Metazoa, Chordata, Actinopteri, Esociformes, Esocidae.
CUGAACAGUAUGGUCAAGGAUCCUGAUGAUGGAUUGUCAGCCACCCACUUGGCUGUCAUGCAGGUGCUGUUUGAUAUCCGCACGGCUGGUCAGGGACUGUUUGUGAAAGUUGUCUUUGGAAAAAGACCCUCAUUUGUCCGAUUCUAGCAGGGAACCUAUGACAGACGAAAUAGUGCAUCUGAGUUCCAUCAAAGAGAGCCACGCGUCACAUCACUGCUCAACCUUGCAGCGCAAAGAGCAGGCAAGGGGUCUGUUUGGCCACACGCUCUGCCAAGACUGCAGUGCUGUAGUCUGCAGAUAGAUCCACUAUAACCUACAAUAAGAUACCCUCUGCACCUCUCCCCUGUGAGACUGAGGUCUCAGCAGUUCAGCUGAAUCCUAGAGAUCUCAGGUGGCAAAACCCCCACAAACAUUACAGAGAUCACGGAGAAGGCACCACUUGCGGCAGCUGAAGAAACCCAAAACAAAUGUCUUACAUGACUCCAGGGGCAAGGAAGCGUGCAGGAAAGCUCAUCGCUGAAACCUCCCACCACCGUCACCCACUUUCCCCAAGAGUAUUCUUCAACGAGCCGAAGGCAGGAUGGCGGUGCAGGUUAUGACCAAAGAAUCCCACCACCUGAACAGUUCCCUGUGCUGUGGCCCUUAGAUAACCUGUCCCAUAGAGACUAACUAGACCAGGCUGACCACGAAACACCCCGUCUAGAAAGUAAACUGAAUGGACUCUACUCUCCACACCUCUCAUUUCCCUGAACAUAGAUUGAGUAUACCGAUACUGUAAAAGUGAAGGCAGGAACAGACCAUCUGCAACAGCAGACCCCCAACACAGCCUUAACUACCCAGAGAGAUUUGAACGCCAUGCCUCUCAUUCCGGCACUCCACAUGCUCUCAUUCGUCAAGGCGUAUGGAACAAUGCAGAACCUCAAGCAGAAUAGAAGAGCUUUCCUCUGUCCUCCACACAUCCUGAGAGAGGAUAUAUCCAAGAUCUUUCCUCUGUCCUCCACACAUCCUGAGAGAGGAUAUAUCCAAGAUCGGUUUGGUGUGUGUAACUGCGUUCAUUCAAA